AUGAUAGAGGCGCAUCGCGUGAUGAGUAAACGAGCUGGAAGGGGCUGUAUCCCGUUGGCUUGCGGAAAGGGGCGCGUUGCCGAAGGCAGCUUCGGAUACAGCGGAGCUGUGCUGGGCCGGUAAACUAAUAGCUGCCGGACUGUCGCAUCACUGCGGAGUGCUAUCGUU
Molecule: non-coding RNA, 168 nt
Filed under: human gut metagenome
Description: Lysine riboswitch
Rfam family: Lysine riboswitch aptamer
About the family: Riboswitches are metabolite binding domains within certain messenger RNAs that serve as precision sensors for their corresponding targets.
Source: RNAcentral